This 486-nucleotide ribosomal RNA is filed under the name uncultured bacterium. Its description in RNAcentral is "bacterial SSU rRNA". It matches the Rfam family "Bacterial small subunit ribosomal RNA", at positions 28 to 507 of the family's 1533-position model. The record is from RNAcentral.
GACGAACGCUGGCGGCGUGCCUAACACAUGCAAGUCGAACGAAGUGCUUACAACAGAUUCCUUCGGGAUGAAGAUGUAAGUAUCUUAGUGGCAAACGGGUGAGUAACGCGUGAGAAACCUGCCUUUCACAAAGGAAUAGCCUCGAGAAAUCGGGAUUAAUGCCUUAUGAUACUUUUUAUACGCAUGUAUGAAAAGUUAAAGCGUAAAGCGGUGAAAGAUGGUCUCGCGUCCCAUUAGCUAGUUGGCGGGGUAACGGCCCACCAAAGCGACGAUCAGUAGCCGACCUGAGAGGGUGACCGGCCACAUUGGGACUGAGACACGGCCCAAACCCCUACGGGAGGCAGCAGUGGGGAAUAUUGCACAAUGGGGGGAAACCCUGAUGCAGCGACGCCGCGUGAGCGAAGAAGUAUUUCGGUAUGUAAAGCUCUAUCAGCAGGGAAGAAAGAAAUGACGGUACCUGACUAAGAAGCCCCGGCUAACUACGUG